GAGACAGAGCCGCCGCGGUAAUACAGAGGGUGCGAGCGUUAAUCGGAUUUACUGGGCGUAAAGCGUGCGUAGGCGGCUUCUUAAGUCGGAUGUGAAAUCCCUGAGCUUAACUUAGGAAUUGCAUUCGAUACUGGGAAGCUAGAGUAUGGGAGAGGAUGGUAGAAUUCCAGGUGUAGCGGUGAAAUGCGUAGAGAUCUGGAGGAAUACCGAUGGCGAAGGCAGCCAUCUGGCCUAAUACUGACGCUGAGGUACGAAAGCAUGGGGAGCAAACAGGAUUAGAUACCCCGGUAGUCCCUGUCUCUUAUACC
This 308-nucleotide ribosomal RNA is filed under the name uncultured bacterium. RNAcentral describes it as "partial 16S ribosomal RNA". It matches the Rfam family "Bacterial small subunit ribosomal RNA", at positions 505 to 808 of the family's 1533-position model. The record is from RNAcentral.